Molecule: small RNA, 127 nt
Filed under: Marmota monax (woodchuck)
Lineage: Eukaryota; Metazoa; Chordata; Mammalia; Rodentia; Sciuridae
Source: RNAcentral
GCCAGGAGUGGUGGCACACGCCUGCAAUCCCAGCAGCUCCGGAGGCUGAGGCAGGAGGAUCAGGAGUUCAAAGCCAGCCUCAGCAACUUAGGGAGGCUCUAAGCAACUCAGUGAGACCCUGUCUCGA